This 803-nucleotide ribosomal RNA is filed under the name Vibrio parahaemolyticus. Its description in RNAcentral is "partial 23S ribosomal RNA". It matches the Rfam family "Bacterial large subunit ribosomal RNA", at positions 382 to 1188 of the family's 2925-position model. Lineage: Bacteria; Pseudomonadati; Pseudomonadota; Gammaproteobacteria; Vibrionales; Vibrionaceae. The record is from RNAcentral.
UAGUUGACGACGUGUGUUCAGUGAAAUCGAGUAGGGCGGGACACGUGAUAUCCUGUCUGAAUAUGGGGGGACCAUCCUCCAAGGCUAAAUACUACUGACUGACCGAUAGUGAACCAGUACCGUGAGGGAAAGGCGAAAAGAACCCCUGUGAGGGGAGUGAAAUAGAACCUGAAACCGUGUACGUACAAGCAGUAGGAGCAGGCUUUGUCCUGUGACUGCGUACCUUUUGUAUAAUGGGUCAGCGACUUAUAUUCAGUGGCAAGGUUAACCAUCUAGGGGAGCCGUAGGGAAACCGAGUCUUAACUGGGCGUUCAGUCUCUGGAUAUAGACCCGAAACCAGGUGAUCUAGCCAUGGGCAGGUUGAAGGUUGAGUAACAUCAACUGGAGGACCGAACCGACUAAUGUUGAAAAAUUAGCGGAUGACUUGUGGCUAGGGGUGAAAGGCCAAUCAAACCUGGAGAUAGCUGGUUCUCCCCGAAAGCUAUUUAGGUAGCGCCUCGGACGAAUACUACUGGGGGUAGAGCACUGUUAAGGCUAGGGGGUCAUCCCGACUUACCAACCCUUUGCAAACUCCGAAUACCAGUAAGUACUAUCCGGGAGACACACGGCGGGUGCUAACGUCCGUCGUGGAGAGGGAAACAACCCAGACCGCCAGCUAAGGUCCCAAAUUACUACUAAGUGGGAAACGAUGUGGGAAGGCUCAGACAGCCAGGAUGUUGGCUUAGAAGCAGCCAUCAUUUAAAGAAAGCGUAAUAGCUCACUGGUCGAGUCGGCCUGCGCGGAAGAUGUAACGGGGCUAAGUA